Molecule: long non-coding RNA, 658 nt
Organism: Esox lucius (northern pike)
Lineage: Eukaryota; Metazoa; Chordata; Actinopteri; Esociformes; Esocidae
Source: Ensembl
CAUGACGUCCUUCUCAAGAAUCUCCUGGUAUACCUCAGAAUUAAUGAUUCCCUUGAUGUGCAGUCAAUGAGGUCCACAGGAGGAAAAGAACAUGGUCUUCCAAAAACCUUUAGGUUGUCCAGGAGGUUUCCAAGUUAAGUUUUGCUGUUUUUUUAUUUUUUAUUUAUUGUUGAAGCAUGCACAGUAACCUGAGAUGAGAGGUCUUCAAAUCAUUGUUGGUAUUUACCUGACUUAUUACUUUUCUAGUGUUUCUUGGGAAUGUACUGCAUCCACUUAUAAGCUGAAUUGCUUUCAUGGUGCCAUUAAUAGAGGUAACGAGUGGAGGACAUAGGAACCUCUUAAAGAAGAAGUUACAGGUACAUAGAACAAUUCUUAGGACGAGCAUUCAUCUCCUCAAUAAGUACCCAAUGGGCCUCAUUCACCAACCAUUCUUAAGAUGAAAUUCCUUCUUCAAACCCACCUACACAGUUCCCAUGAAGAUUCUGCCAUUCACUAAUGUUUUCUUAUUUGGGAUUUGUUCUCAGGCAGGCAGUACACGUAUCUCUGUUCUCGCACCAGCAGGCUCCGGAACAGUUUCUUUCCAUCUGCUAUAACCCUGCUGAACUCUGUGACUUUCCAUCACUAUGCCCACACUUUGUACUACUGGACUCUGUCACUG